UCCAAAAUAAAUAAAAAUGCGAAAAUAAAUUCUAUCUAACUUACACUAAUCCUAACUACGCUCCCGUGCAUUACGCGAUGCCUCGGACCUUCAUCACAAACAUCUUCCGCCAACAUAAUACGUCGGGGCAUUCCCCGGUGAAUAAAUAUAACGCGUCUCGGGGCAUUCCCCGACUAAACGAAUACAUUUUUCAAAUGCGAGAAAGAUAAACCAUUCCUCAAAUAUUCCAAACACUCAAACAAUCCAUAAGUUCUAAAUUUGCCUACCCAAGCCUACUAUUUGCCUACGCUUUCGCCGGUCUUAUCAUGAUACUACCGAAUUCAUCUACAUCAUCAAUACAUCAAAAUUAAUCAAUAUUCACUUUUAUUAAUGUCUCAAUUCCCGCCCCAAAUUCAACUCAAGGUUCCAAUGUAACAAUUCACAAUUACUUUUAACAAUCCAUAACCAAUAUCAAUGACAUCAAAUGACAAAUCAAAAUCACCAAAACACUCAUAUCAUAUCAUGCUUCACACAUAUCAAACACGUAUAAUGAAAUAGAAAUGAGAAGAGAUAGAAUUGGACCUCCAAUCACGCUUUCAAAAUCAAUGUAUUAUUCUGAUUAAAACCGAGAGAAUCCCCGUCCAAAACCUCGAAUCGAACCUAAAUCCGAAUCAACGCAAACUCGCCAACUCGAUCGAACCCAAAACCGAACAAUCCAAAACAACAAUCUCAAAAUCAAAACCCCCAAAAAUCCAAAUCGAAUCUGGACUAAGAACCAAUGUUUGCGACUUUGUUCAUAAUACUAUUCACGUCAACGGGGUUACGGGUUUAGUCGGCAAAAGGCGUGGUCAUUGGGCUGAACUGUUGCGACUUCAACAGGGCUCCGACAAGCCUCAACAGUGAUGGGGUGAUCGGAUUUUAUGAUUUUGAUGGAGAUGGAGCUGAUAUUUGUAUCAUCGGAGUUCCGGCGAGCUCCAAUAGUGACGGACACGGACAGACGGAGUAUGGUUCAGAUCUCAGGCAAAAAUGGUGGUUCCCGGCGAGAUUUCACAGGAACCAACACCCCCACUGUCGUUUCUCUCUUCUCUCUCACUUACACUCAGAUUUUUAUUGUUUUCCUCCCAACUUUAUCACACUCUCUCGCUCAAUCCUCUUUAUCCUUUUCUUUCUCUCUCGUUCAACUGUUCUCUCCCAUCUCUUUCGUGUUACUGUGUGCGUGAGUGUGUAUUCUUAAUUGUAUCCAUAUGGGGAAUUUCAGUGAGUGUAUUUGGUGAGGAUCAUUGAUUUCUCCUGAUGGAGAAGAUGAUUUCUGUGUGUAUGUGUUUUUGGGUCUUCUCUAGUAUUGAUGGAUGGUCUCGUAUUGUUACUGUGAGUCUCUAUACGUAUGAGAGUGUGUGUAUAUGAGUGGAAGGGAAAUUCCGUGUCUAUGGGUAUUGCCCUGAAUGGAUAGGAUCUUGUGUGCCUAUGUAUUAGGUGUUCACCCAUUCCCUGUGGGCCCUUUUUUAUUCCUUUUGUUCUGUUUUGGUUAAAAGGAACAAACAACAAAAAAAAAAAUGUGAGCGGGGGCUGCUUAGGGGUGAGGUUGGGUAGGGGUAGUGAGGUGGUUUAUUUUGAUUGGGUAGGUUGUUAGAAUGAGGUGUAAAGGGAGUUAGGAUAGGAUAAAAUUUGUUAGGUAGUUUGUUAGGGAGUUUGUUUUAAGUUGUUAUUUUUUUAUAUUUUUGUGGGGUAUAAUUACAUGGGUGAGGGUACACGGUAGGAUAAAGUAAAAAUGGGUAAAAACGAUAUCGGGAAGGGACGAAAUUAGGUGUCUACAAGGAUUGUUUUUUAUGAUCAAGAAUGUAAAAACAAAUUGUAAUGCCAACGCUAAGUUAAUCG
This 1854-nucleotide long non-coding RNA is filed under the name Capsicum annuum. RNAcentral's name for it is "long non-coding RNA (CANN_LNC007654)". Lineage: Eukaryota; Viridiplantae; Streptophyta; Magnoliopsida; Solanales; Solanaceae. The record is from RNAcentral.